RNAcentral lists this ribosomal RNA (253 nucleotides) under uncultured bacterium. Its description in RNAcentral is "partial 16S ribosomal RNA". It matches the Rfam family "Bacterial small subunit ribosomal RNA", at positions 524 to 776 of the family's 1533-position model. The record is from RNAcentral.
UACGUAGGUGGCGAGCGUUGUCCGGAUUUACUGGGCGUAAAGAGCGCGCAGGCGGUCGUACAAGUCGCGUGUGAAAGCCCCUGGCUCAACUGGGGAGGGUCACGCGAUACUGUUCGACUUGAAGGCAGGAGAGGGAAGUGGAAUUCCUGGUGUAGUGGUGAAAUGCGUAGAUAUCGGGAGGAACACCAGUGGCGAAGGCGACUUCCUGGCCUGUUCUUGACGCUGAGGCGCGAAAGCUAGGGUAGCAAACGGG